Molecule: long non-coding RNA, 288 nt
Filed under: Hordeum vulgare
Lineage: Eukaryota; Viridiplantae; Streptophyta; Magnoliopsida; Poales; Poaceae
Description: long non-coding RNA (HVUL_LNC006961)
Source: RNAcentral
UGCGGUUCCUCUCGCUAGGGCAGGGAGGAGCUGGGCCUUGGGCCUGGCAACUCCCUCUUUGCUAGCUCUUGGCCUUUUUCCUUUAAAAAAAACAGAAAACUCCAACAAAAAUGAAAAAGGGUUUUUAACCAAAUAGAAAAAUGCUUUUAGCUCCCUUUUAAAAAAUAUACCCCAACUAUAAAAUAGCUUGGGCAUUUAAAACAAAUAAAAUGAAUCCUUUCUUUAAGAAUAAAAUAAUACCCUUUCUUUUUAAAUAAUAAACAAACCCCCUUUUUUUAAAUAAACGAG